RNAcentral lists this ribosomal RNA (460 nucleotides) under uncultured bacterium. RNAcentral describes it as "partial 16S ribosomal RNA". It matches the Rfam family "Bacterial small subunit ribosomal RNA", at positions 338 to 795 of the family's 1533-position model. The record is from RNAcentral.
CCUACGGGUGGCAGCAGUGAGGAAUAUUGGUCAAUGGGCGCGAGCCUGAACCAGCCAAGUAGCGUGAAGGAUGACUGCCCUACGGGUUGUAAACUUCUUUUAUAAAGGAAUAAAGUGAGGCACGUGUGCCUUUUUGUAUUUACUUUAUGAAUAAGGAUCGGCUAACUCCGUGCCAGCAGCCGCGGUAAUACGGAGGGUGCGAGCGUUAUCCGGAUUUAUUGGGUUUAAAGGGAGCGUAGAUGGGUUGUUAAGUCAGUUGUGAAAGUUUGCGGCUCAACCGUAAAACGGCAAUUGAUAAUGGCAGACUUGAGUACAGUAGAGGUAGGCGGAAUGCGUGGUGUAGCGGUGAAAUGCUUAGAUAGCACGAAGAACUCCGAUUGCGAAGGCAGCCUACUAAACUGCCACUGACAUUGAUGCUCGAAAGCGUGGGUAUCAAACAGGAUUAGAUACCCUAGUAGUC